Molecule: ribosomal RNA, 820 nt
Filed under: uncultured bacterium
Lineage: Bacteria
Description: bacterial SSU rRNA
Rfam family: Bacterial small subunit ribosomal RNA
Source: RNAcentral
UCGAGCGGCAGCGCGGGGGCAACCCUGGCGGCGAGCGGCGAACGGGUGAGUAAUGUAUCGGAACGUACCCAGUCGUGGGGGAUAACUAUCCGAAAGGAUAGCUAAUACCGCAUACGUCCUGAGGGAGAAAGCGGGGGACCGUAAGGCCUCGCGCGAUUGGAGCGGCCGAUAUCGGAUUAGCUAGUUGGUGAGGUAAAGGCUCACCAAGGCGACGAUCCGUAGCUGGUCUGAGAGGACGACCAGCCACACUGGAACUGAGACACGGUCCAGACUCCUACGGGAGGCAGCAGUGGGGAAUUUUGGACAAUGGGGGCAACCCUGAUCCAGCCAUUCCGCGUGAGUGAAGAAGGCCUUCGGGUUGUAAAGCUCUUUCAGCAGGAACGAAACGGUGGUCCUUAAUACGGGCUACUAAUGACGGUACCUGAAUAAGAAGCACCGGCUAACUACGUGCCAGCAGCCGCGGUAAUACGUAGGGUGCGAGCGUUAAUCGGAAUUACUGGGCGUAAAGCGUGCGCAGGCGGUUUGUUAAGAUAGGCGUGAAAUCCCCGGGCUCAACCUGGGAACUGCGUUUAUGACUGGCAGGCUAGAGUAUGGCAGAGGGGGGUGGAAUUCCACGUGUAGCAGUGAAAUGCGUAGAGAUGUGGAGGAACACCGAUGGCGAAGGCAGCCCCCUGGGCCAAUACUGACGCUCAUGCACGAAAGCGUGGGUAGCAAACAGGAUUAGAUACCCUGGUAGUCCACGCCCUAAACGAUGUCAACUAGGUGUUGGGUGGGUAAAACCAUUUAGUACCGGAGCUAACGCGUGAAGUUGACCGCCUGG